AGUCUAAUUGGAAGUUUUUGUGUGGACAACGGUAGAUAACGUUGCUUUUCCUCACGGUAUGUUUUUUGUGUAAAUAAUCACGAAUUAACUGCAAAAAAUUUGCAUCAAUAAGUAAACAAUUUACACAACAAUUCGUGUAUCAAUAAAUGCAACUCAAAUAUGCAGUGAAUUAAAAGAAACACAUUGUAAAUUUAUAUCAAAAAAAAAAAAAAUGAAAAGAAAAUGCCAAUACAGAGCCCGCCGUGAGGCAUAGCGCCGAGUGAGCACACCAGUGCAGAAUGUGCGUUGUUUUGUUGUUAGAGUGAACGAAAAUAAGUUCUGUACAAAGGAAUAACUACAUAAAUGACCAUUUAACGGCGUAACAAUUUCGCAGUUGAAACAAAUGUGAUUUUCCAAUUUUGUGCAUAUUCAUACAUUUUAGAAAAGAAAAAGAUAUACAAAGAUAAAUAAACACAUAUUCGCGCUUUGUAUAGUGAAUGACAUGCUCUUAAAGUCCUAAUAGGAGAGCGCAAUUGGUCUUGCUGUUCGUCAGGGUGUGACCGCAAAUUGGCUUUCAUAUGAGGUGUUCACUGAUGUGUAAAAUGCACCUGCAGCGGAAUAUGCCUUUGAAAAUUCCUACCCACCUGUUUUUUUCAAAUGUACAAUGAUAUUUUGCCAUGUAAAGUGCUUCACAACUAACAAAGAGUGGUUGUAAAAAUGUUUCAUUAUGUGCAAUCAAAGUUGAAAGUAGUAAAUGCAGUGACAAUUUGCCAUUACAAUCCAUUCAUUAGUUGGCACAAGCACAACGUACCAUAUGUAAUUGACAAUUUGGUAAUUAGCUGUAGAUGACGGCAAAUUGGUUGGACUUAUACACUCUGAUUGGAAUUUGUGUAUCAAAGAGAAGUGAGUUCGCGAGAGUAAAUAUAUGAUACUCAAAUUGGUGUUGGAGAAUUCUUUAGUAUUCGUUAACAGUGGUGACUACUUUUGGCUUAAUUUCGAUUUUGAAUGUAAAAAAUUGGUAAAAUUAUUGAAAAAAGCCAAUAUAGCAGCAGUAUUUUCAUAAAAGCAUAUUAUUGACAAUUUAUACAUGCAUCACGUCUUCGACUUUAUGCUGAAUCGUUGGUUUUGCUAAGUACUCAAAAUGAAAAUGAUAAACUUAUGCGAUUACUUUAAACUUUUUCUGUACAUCACUAUUGCGCUCUCUUCGAAUCAUUUACUCAGUGUCAUAUUGGCAUUCACUUGGCCAAAACAAUUCAAGCGGCUAUGACCACUAGUUUGUAGGUAGUAUAUACCGAUUGGAUUCAGUGUUUUUGCUAAUAGAAACGGUUGGACAUCAUAAAAGUCUAGAGUGCGGACAGUGGCUUUUUGCCGUUAACUAUUAACUUAAUUCUAAAUCUCGGAAAGAAUAAUGAGAAGCUAGAAAUGCAAAUAUCACGGCAUUAAGAAACAAUAGAGAGAAUAAAGCGCUUAGAAUACUGUUCAUUAGUGUGAUAAAUUGAAUGAACUUCAAAUAACACGGAGAUGCAAGAAAUCAAAUAAAAAAGCUAAAAAGUUGCCGAUUCGUGGUUAAUCAACCAACUGACCAACUAACCAAACCGGAUAGCACCAAAUAAACGCCCAGCCACCACCUUAGAAUACUCAACGUCAAUCAUUGUAUGUUUCAUAUGUAAAGUUCUUCUGGCUGUUACACCGAUCAAGCUGUCAAACUUAGUAAAAGAAUUUGGCAAUAAUGUGGCAACAAGCAAGUUGAAAGCGGCCGAUGUCAGACGUGUCGCUUUUGAAGUUUAAAAUCAAAUUCAAUGCAAAACAAACACGUCUGAUGACAAAUAUUUUCGCUGUCGCAGCGAAAAAGCUAACGAACUUUGCGAAAACGCCGACAACAACGGCACCAACAGGAACAGAAAUUUAUCAUAUAUAAAAGCGAAAAAUACAAUACAUGAAGAGGUAACACCCACGGCACCUGCACAUACAAUCGCACGUAAAAAUCCAUAAGCGAGCGUACAACUACGAAAUCGCCAACACUCGGCACACAGCGUCAUAAAGAUCCACGUCCACCUAUCCCCCAUAUAGACACACACUCACGCUUGCAUCCUAAAGGCAAACAAAUUUUCAGUUUGUUGCUAAUGUAACUACUAGUGAUAAGAACGAACGCACAAAGUAGCAGAGACCGAAAACGAAAGAAGUAAAAUAGUCAAAGCGGCAGGAAAAGUAAGGAGAGAGCACGUAUUAUUAUAAAUAGGCCUAAUAGAACGGUAAAGCGCAGCAAAGCGGAUACAGAGUCACACACCUAGUUGAUUAAUUAAUUUAUUGUACAACUUUUUAGUAAGCGUGAAUACAUUUUAAUACUUUGCCACACGAGGUAAGAGUUCGAGAUAGGUACCUGUACAUUUUCUCUCAACUUGCCAAAAAGCAUAACAAAAAAAUAAAAAUAAAUUAAUAAAAAAAAACCAGACAACCAAAUUCCCUGCGUGUUCUGGUUGCCUGUCAGUGAAUAUUUAAGCAAAUAUAAUGACAUCAUACGCAACCGCCAAUGAUUCUAACAACACAGCAACAGCAACAACAAGCUCAAUGGAUAAUACAAAUGUGGCUAACGCUACGGCAACGUUAGCGUCAAACGCUCUCGCUACAGAUACAAUGGCAGGUGUGGAGAAUGUUGACGGCAUGCGCAACUUUCACGCAACUAUCGACCGUUCGCCUUAUGAAAGCCCAACAACACCGUCAACGUACGAUUGUGAUGUACUGCGGAAAUUAGGCGAAACAACGCUGCAACAACAACAACAGCUGUUGCAAGAUCAACAAUUGUUAGAUACACCAACAAGCAAUUGUUGCACAGACUAUGAAUGUGAUUCGUUUUCGGACGGGCAUGAGAAGACCGAUACCACACCGGAAAAUUUGAAGAAGAUCGAUGAUGUCAUUGAGCAGCAAGCGCAGCUGCAACAGUUAAAAAACCGCUCAUCCUCGCACUAUCUAGUUAAUUCACAAGCAUCGGCAACUAAUGCUGACGCUUUCGAUAGAGAUAUUGUUGGUGCUGGUUAUGGAGUUGGGCUAGCUGUGGCGGUUGAUGACUCAAAUGCAAAGUUUUGUUUUGGCAAACCGCUUUGCAAUGAAAAAGAUAUGUUGAGCAAAAGCGAACGCAUAGAAAGCCACGGCCAUAGCCACAACCACAGCAUCGACUGUUCGACAGCCGGUUUAGGCAAAAGUAAGCGCGUUGUCGAUGGUAACGGCAGUGACAGCGGUUGCGUUACACCGUCCACUAUGUCGGACAUCAAUGCGGCGGCGCUGCUUGCCAGCGGUGCAGACAAUAGCGAGUCGUUGCCGCACGACGAUGAUUCAUCCGCCUCCAAUGCAACUAAUACUACCACAACAGCAACAGCAAAUAAACAGUCGUAUGCUUUUACAAUUGACAACUUCAAUGACAGCGGUUGUGAUCCUGAAGCAGCUAAAGCGCGUUACAAAAGCAUGAUGGAGCGUUUUCAGAGUCGUCACCGACGUGGUGCAUCCAUGUCGAAACUGGAAGCUGGCGAUGCUGCCACCAAUAAGGAAACCACAAUGACUAGCUCAGUGUCAGCAACACCGCUGAGUGGCAGCGCCAACGCACGUCAUGCGCGCAAUAGCGCGGGCGCCGUUGAUAACUCAUACGAUAGUGGUGGCGGCGAUGUGCCGAAAGUGAAGCUGCGUGUGCGUGAUCGCAGCACAUCGCGUGUACGCGACGCCAGCAAGCGACAUAGUUGGUCACCGCGUUCUAGUACACAAGAGUCACAGUUGCACGCGCACGGUCAGCAUGCCGUUGCGCAAACGUCAUCAGCGACGCGUAAUAGUCAAAACAGCGCCAACGAACGCGCGAACACUGCACAGAAGCCCUUACCGCCCACGCGCAAAAAUGUCAGCAAGCAGAAACCACCGCCGCUGCAGCUGCCCAAAGGCGCUGCCAACCUAGUAGCGAAUCGCACACAAUUCACGCCGCGCUCGACCGCUAUGCAAUUGGCCUUGCAGAAAGUGGACUUUCUUUGCGCGCAACCGCCGCUCGCCGAAUUGAAGAACUACAACUUAGAGGCGGAUAAUAUCAGUGAAACUGGCACUUAUACGCUGGACGGCGACAACUAUACGGAGGAGCAAAAGGAUCUAAUGAACAUCGACAAGAGCGCUCAGCAGGCAUUAAAAGCACAACAGCGUCCGAAGCAUUUGCAACUAAGCAGCAGUGGGGUUGAUGUGGAUGCGCAGCUGUGUAACACAAAAAUCCCAGUGCAUGUGAACAAUCGCUCGAAUGUGCUCGAGGUGAAUUACUACCACGACGCAGAAGCAGAACAGGGUCCGCAAUCACCGCACGCAUAUAACGAGCGCGAUCUCAUUUUGGGUUCGCAUGAGUCGGCGGGCGCAUAUUUGGAGAAGAUAAAGUCUCGCGUGCUGCGCAAUGCCUCGGCAACAAAAUCCGCGCCAUCGCAAGCUGGUAACGGUCAGAAAACGCCUACGGAGGAUGAUGGCGAUUUGGGUUGUUUCACCAGCGUGACAACCAGUGGUGUGCUCGCUAAAAAAAGCGCGCUUGAUCCCCGUCCGCGUUUGACGCGUAAAUCUGGUUUGUCCACGUCACAAAUUGACUCUUCGGAGUAUGUGAGCAAUGAAAUGAAACUGAAGGCGAAUACAGCUAGCGCGUACUCGGGAGGUGGUUUCACUGAUCAUCAAAAAGCUGAAUAUCGUUUGAACUUGUUCACCAAUCAAAAGGAUAAUACACAAGCGAAAUUCGCGGCGACACGCAGUUAUAUAGAAUCACCACCGGAUACACCUACACACCAGCAACUAUCCGAUGCAGCGGUGUUGAAGACGGCACAAACAAAAAACGAUUGGAUACAGGAGUGGGCACGCAAUGCGCGGGCACGCAGCCUCGCUUCAGACACGUCAAAAACUCGCAUUCACACAGAUGCGUCGCAGACAGCGUUGAUGACGCGCAGCUACACGUGCGCUUCCGAUACAGCGGCCGGUGCUGAUUCGCUCACCGACGAUAGCAUUUACAAUAGCAAACAGUGCAUCAGCGCUGCCAAGCUGAAUCGCAGUCUUGCCGAGCGUUAUCGCUUGUCGGGCGAAUGUGACUAUUCGAGCGAUCCAACGUUGUCGAGCGGCGCGUACAGCAGCGGUGGACAGCCGGCCGAGGGCAUUUGCAAGCCUCCAAAGAGUCCUUCGAAAAUACCCUCACCGCUGCAUUCAAUUGGUCGUGCGCGCAGUGCAAGUCGUACGCGUGCGCCACUGCAGAAUGUGUUGUUACAGGGUGGUGUUGGCGACGAAGAGGCGGAUAUUUAUUUGCAGAAGACAGCGGCUGCUAUUAGCAAUUUACAGCAGUCGCUUUCUCGUAAGAAUUCACUAAAAUCGCCGCCAACUACACAUUCUUCAGCGUCGCCACGUGCGCACUCGGCACGCUCGCAUGCUCAUUCCUCGGCGUUGUACUCGCCGCCAGACGACUGCGGCAGUCCACAGCACGGCUUGGGCUCGCCCACAUCUGCGGCCAGCGGCAGCGCUUACCAUCACUCACCGUUGCAUCGGCGCGUCGCUACGAAUGAUCCCUAUAGCCGCAAUGCACAGCAUUUGCAGCUGAUGACGAGCAGCUUCAAUGAGCAGCAAUUGAAGUUGCUCACCAGCGGUGAAUACUUGGCGCGGCAAAUGCGUGCGCGCAAGAACUCCUUCGAUGGCAACAUCAGCAAUUCGCCAGCACGUCGCGCGGCAGUAGCAGCGGCAAAUGCACAAGCGCAAGCGCAGGCUGUGCAAAGCGGUCAGGAGUCGCCAUUACGUCGUUCCAGUUCAUUCUCGGCGAAAAUAGCGACAACUCAACGUGCGGCGCGUCCACAAUUCUCCAACAUUUACACACCACCGGCUGCGCGACACAAUUAUUCGCUGGUUGGCGGCGGUGAUGGGCAGUCCGCGGCGACGCGUGCAAACAAAAAUGCUAGCAUUAUCAAAAAAUCGGCGAGCAGCAAUAAUUUCCGGCAUGCCAUCGGUGAUUACGACGAAAAUUUCCAAUAUUAUAUAAAUGAUGAGGAUGACAUGGGCGAAGAGUAUUAUUCAAGUGGUGCUGAGGAAGUCGAGGAAGAGGAGGAAGACGACAAUGACCACUACUACCACCAACACGAUGAUGAUGUGCAAGCGGAAGUGGAUAACACGGCAGCAGUGCCGCUAUCAAAUACGCGUUUGAAUAAAGCGCUACUGAUGCGUAUCGAACGUAGCAAGCAACGCGUAAGCGGCGGUUCCGGUACGGGCAAGCCAUCUUCUGCGCCUGUGACGAGAUUACAACAACAGCAAGCUGUCGGCUCUUGUGGCGUUAUGGCAUGCCCGAACACGCCCGAAUUACCGCGGCGCGGCAUACGCAGUGCGCCACGUUCCAGCGGCGCCACAACGACGCGACAGUCAGUGCCGCGUGACACCAGUCUCAGUCGUUUGGCAUCACAGGUACCCAACUCGUUGGCCUCGGCAAAGAAGCAAUUACUACAAACUGCCGCCGCUGUGCCAUCUACAACAAAGCUGACAAAUCAACGGGUGCAACCGAAGUAUUUGGACAUAUCGAAGUACAAGCCGGCGCAGGGCAAUAAUUUUCUACGCAAGAACGAUUCCAAAAGCACACUGAAAACGUCAGCAUUGAGUGGCGACAUGAUGAAACGCAGUCCGAGUAGCUCAUCGAUGGGGCUGAGUCGUGCGGAUCCGACACGCACCAGCAAUCGCAGUGUACGCUCGGUGGCAUCGUGCAUGACCACAAGCGGCACUACGCUUGGCGGUGGUGGUGGCGGUGGAAUGAGCGGUCGGGCCUCAUCAGCGGUGCGUAGAGACCAGUCGGUGACCAAACAAAAGGAGGCAGAAAUGGCCAUGUGGAAGCGACGCUCCACGUACGACCCCAUGAAGGCGGCAGCCGAAGAUCGUCGCAAGAAAGAGGAAGCCAAACGUUUGGCGCUCGCCAAGAAUAUGGGCGAAAUGCCGUGCGAGAGGCCAUCUAGAUCUCCCUAUCGUCGUGGACAGUUAUGACCGGAAGGCUUGCUUAUAACCGAUCUCUAAGCGUAACUACUGCAAAUAUAAAAAAGAAAGAAAACAAAUUAUUAUUCCUAUUUGUCAUUGUUACCACCAAAAAUUCCAUCCAAAUCAGUCAGCAUUAGCAUCAAGUGAAAAAUGAAAAAUACAUGUAAAUCAUUAGUCACCGGCUCCUUGCAAAUUGAUGGCGUCGCGCAUGAAACAAAGAUUUAGCGUUUAACGCUAAUUAUACCUAUUGAUUUAGCAAUUAGCGGCGGUAAUUAAACCACUUAGCAAUUGAAGUGUGGGGUGCUAAAUGCAAGGAGUUUAGUGUGUCUGAAGUGCAUGCAACGAAUAAUAAAGAAUAUAUACGAAAAUAUCCAAACCAUAAGGAAUGCGGGAGUGAAGUAUUGGCGGAAAACUACGCCUUACAAAUGUAACAUUUAAAUGCAAAAUAUACUAAAUUAACGCAACGAAAAACAAAGCUAACAACAAACAAAUAAUAACCGAAUAAGCGAGCGAGCAAGCGAACGAGCGAAGAAGCGAAUUCGAAAACUAAGAACGUCAAUACAGAGAGCGAUUUACAUAUGCAUAUACAUAUAUUUCGAGAGAAGGAGAGGGUGUGAAAGCAGUUGCAGCAUACUUUUAGGCGUUACACAUACUUGCCAAACAAUUUGUUGUGAACGUCAACGUGCGAUGCAGCACGUACGCCACCGCCAUUCAAGCAACAACUAUCGCUGGACGAACAAUGGACCGAGUAUGGUGAAGAAGAAUGCGUUUAAAGCGCGGGGAGAGUUAGAGAACAUGAGGAAGUGACAACCAGCGUCCAGUGAUGAGCAGCUAAUUUUAUGAGCGACGAACAAAUGCGUUUAAAAAGCUUUUGAAAAGUGAUACAUAGGAUCUACUAUAAAAAAAAAUACAAAUAUAAUUAUAUUAAAAUUAUUAUUAAAUAUUGUUAAACAAAACGAGAACAACUAUAGCAGAUAGUACAUACUAUAUAAUUACGCGAAUUGAGUUAGGUAACUAGAUGUUGCAAGUUUGUCUGGCAUAAGUACACUUGUGCGUCGUCGUGUUGGCAUACUGCUAUAAUAAGGCGAUAAUGAUUUGAUAGUUGAAAACUGUAUUGACGGCAUAAAAGAUAUGAUUUAAUUAUAUAUAUUUAAUAAUAACUUGUAUACAUAUAUAUAAAAUAUUAUAUGCAACUAUUUUGUGAAUGGCAUACACCUAUUAUGCGUGUGUAUGUGUGAUAGCAACAUAAACACACAAGCAAAUUUGAAACUAACUAAUUAAAAAUGAAUUAUAUAUUUAUAUAUAAAUAUAUAUAUAUUUCUUUCGCUGUAAA
This is a non-coding RNA of Bactrocera oleae (olive fruit fly), 8302 nucleotides long. Lineage: Eukaryota; Metazoa; Arthropoda; Insecta; Diptera; Tephritidae. The record is from RefSeq and is a predicted model, not a curated record.